GACGUAGGGUGCGAGCGUUGUCCGGAUUUAUUGGGCGUAAAGAGCGUGUAGGCGGCCAUGUAGGUCCGGUGUGAAAACUCGAGGCUUAACCUCGAGAUGUCAUCGGAAACCAUUUGGCUAGAGUCCGGAAGAGGAGAGUGGAAUUCCUGGUGUAGCGGUGAAAUGCGCAGAUAUCAGGAAGAACACCAAUGGCGAAAGCAGCUCUCUGGGACGGUACUGACGCUGAGACGCGAAAGCGUGGGGAGCGAACAGG
Molecule: ribosomal RNA, 253 nt
Filed under: uncultured bacterium
Lineage: Bacteria
Description: partial 16S ribosomal RNA
Rfam family: Bacterial small subunit ribosomal RNA
Source: RNAcentral